RNAcentral lists this ribosomal RNA (427 nucleotides) under Bufo bufo (common toad). RNAcentral describes it as "partial 16S ribosomal RNA". It matches the Rfam family "Bacterial large subunit ribosomal RNA", at positions 1827 to 2459 of the family's 2925-position model. The record is from RNAcentral. Lineage: Eukaryota; Metazoa; Chordata; Amphibia; Anura; Bufonidae.
CGCCUCUUGAGUUUUCAUAAGAGGUCCAGCCUGCCCAGUGACCCUGUUCAACGGCCGCGGUAUCCUAACCGUGCGAAGGUAGCGUAAUCACUUGUUCUCUAAAUGUGGACUAGUAUGAAUGGCAUCACGAAGGUUACACUGUCUCCUUUUUCUAAUCAGUGAAACUAAUCUCCCCAUGAAGAAGCGGGGAUGAAGCUAUAAGACGAGAAGACCCUAUGGAGCUUAAAACAGUACAGCAUCUGCCCCAUAACACAUAAAUUUCUGAAUGAAGACUCUACUGGACAGCAUGACUGCGAGUUUUUGGUUGGGGUGACCACGGAGCACAGUACAACCUCCAUGCUGAAAGAAAAUUUCUAAGCUAAGAUCUACAAACCUAAGCAUCAAUAUAUUGACAUCCAUUGACCCAAUACACUUGAACAACGAACCA